CUAUAGCUUAAUGGUAAAGCGCUGCUUUGUGGAGGCAGUAAUGAGGGUUCAAUUCCCUCUAG
This 62-nucleotide transfer RNA is filed under the name marine eukaryotic metagenome. It matches the Rfam family "tRNA", at positions 5 to 66 of the family's 71-position model. From Rfam's summary of the family: Transfer RNA (tRNA) molecules are approximately 80 nucleotides in length. Their secondary structure includes four short double-helical elements and three loops (D, anti-codon, and T loops). The record is from RNAcentral.